GUUUCCGUAGUGUAGCGGUUAUCACGUCUGCUUCACACGCAGAAGGUCCUCGGUUCGAUCCCGGGCGGGAACA
Molecule: transfer RNA, 73 nt
Filed under: Schistocerca americana (American grasshopper)
Lineage: Eukaryota; Metazoa; Arthropoda; Insecta; Orthoptera; Acrididae
Also listed under: 3 other names
Description: tRNA-Val
Rfam family: tRNA
About the family: Transfer RNA (tRNA) molecules are approximately 80 nucleotides in length. Their secondary structure includes four short double-helical elements and three loops (D, anti-codon, and T loops).
Source: RNAcentral